UAAACAUGUAGCUCAAAGGAUAGAGCAUUAGAUUCCGAUACUAAUUGUUAAAGGUUCAAAUCCUUUCAUGUUUAA
This 75-nucleotide transfer RNA is filed under the name Nitzschia alba. RNAcentral's name for it is "tRNA-Arg". It matches the Rfam family "tRNA". Rfam says of the family: Transfer RNA (tRNA) molecules are approximately 80 nucleotides in length. Their secondary structure includes four short double-helical elements and three loops (D, anti-codon, and T loops). The record is from RNAcentral. Lineage: Eukaryota; Bacillariophyta; Bacillariophyceae; Bacillariales; Bacillariaceae.